This 629-nucleotide long non-coding RNA is filed under the name Papio anubis (olive baboon). Its description in RNAcentral is "lncRNA (ENSPANG00000050801.1)". Lineage: Eukaryota; Metazoa; Chordata; Mammalia; Primates; Cercopithecidae. The record is from RNAcentral.
GUACCUAUUUCAGCAAUAUGAAGUUAAAACCAGGUGAGAAAGGGAAAAUAGGAUGGCACUUAUUGCACUGGUACCACCCAGAAUCACAUGGAGUAGAGGCUUGGAUCCACAGAAAUGAUGACAUUUGCUGUUAAUAAACAAAAUGUUAGCUCUAAUGAGUAUAAAGGGAAGAAACCUGUGAUAGAAAAGGAGACCUCUGUCAUAACCGUAUUCAUUUUCAACGGAGUGUUUUGGGCUUUGCAUAAGUACAAAUAUAAAUGUGAGAUUGAACCUCCUAAUACAGUCAAAUGAUCCAGGGUACAGUGUAGCAGCUAAUAACAGCUCAAAUUCUGUAAUCAUCACCUCUAUCUGAAUUCUAGUUUCACCCAUUGUGAACUGCAUCAUUGUGGGCAAGUAAGUGUUUAACUACUUAAAAUCAACUUUCUAAUCAGUAAAGUUGUAAUAGUAAUAGUAAAAUCAGCAUGGUUUUGGAAAGAUUAACUAUUUGAUAUAAUAGUAUAUUUUAUUAGCUAUUAUUUGUAUUAUUAUGGCUGUUAAUUUUACUCUGGAAGACAAUGGGAGAGUUAUUCUUACCCCUCAUUGACCAUAAACAACAACUGAACAUAAACAUUAUUACAUGUAUAUCAUCC